Molecule: ribosomal RNA, 253 nt
Filed under: uncultured bacterium
Lineage: Bacteria
Description: partial 16S ribosomal RNA
Rfam family: Bacterial small subunit ribosomal RNA
Source: RNAcentral
UACGUAGGGGGCAAGCGUUGUCCGGAAUCAUUGGGCGUAAAGAGCGUGUAGGCGGCCCGAUAAGUCCGCCGUGAAAGCCCAGGGCUCAACCCUGGGAUGCCGGUGGAUACUGUCGGGCUAGAGUUCGGAAGAGGCAAGUGGAAUUCCCGGUGUAGUGGUGGAAUGCGUAGAUAUCGGGAGGAACACCAGUGGCGAAGGCGGCUUCCUGGACCGGUUCUGACACUGAGGAGCGAAAGCGUGGGGAGCGAUCCGG